This 253-nucleotide ribosomal RNA is filed under the name uncultured bacterium. RNAcentral's name for it is "partial 16S ribosomal RNA". It matches the Rfam family "Bacterial small subunit ribosomal RNA", at positions 524 to 776 of the family's 1533-position model. The record is from RNAcentral.
GACAGAGGUCUCGAGCGUUAGGCGGAAUCACUGGGCUUAAAGCGUGUGUAGGCGGAUGCCUAAGUACCUUGUGAAAUCCCACGGCUUAACCGUGGAACUGCUUGGUAUACUGGGUGUCUUGAGCCAGCUAGGGGCUACCGGAACAAAUGGUGGAGCGGUGAAAUGCGUAGAUAUCAUUUGGAACGCCAAUGGUGAAAACAGGUAGCUGGGGCUGUGCUGACGCUGAGACACGAAAGCCAGGGGAGCGAACGGG